Molecule: ribosomal RNA, 502 nt
Filed under: uncultured bacterium
Lineage: Bacteria
Description: partial 16S ribosomal RNA
Rfam family: Bacterial small subunit ribosomal RNA
Source: RNAcentral
UGGGGAAUAUUGCACAAUGGGCGAAAGCCUGAUGCAGCAACGCCGCGUGAGUGAUGAAGGCCUUCGGGUUGUAAAGCUCUGUCUUUUGGGACGAUAAUGACGGUACCAAAGGAGGAAGCCACGGCUAACUACGUGCCAGCAGCCGCGGUAAUACGUAGGUGGCAAGCGUUGUCCGGAUUUACUGGGCGUAAAGGAUGCGUAGGCGGAUUUUUAAGUGAGAUGUGAAAACCCUAAGCUUAACUUGGGGACUGCAUUUCAUACUGGGAAAAUCUAGAGUGCGGGAGAGGAGAAUGGAAUUCCUAGUGUAGCGGUGAAAUGCGUAGAGAUUAGGAAGAACACCAGUGGCGAAGGCGAUUCUCUGGACCGUAACUGACGCUGAGGCAUGAAAGCGUGGGUAGCAAACAGGAUUAGAUACCCUGGUAGUCCACGCCGUAAACGAUGAGUACUAGGUGUAGGAGGUAUCGACCCCUUCUGUGCCGCAGUUAACACAAUAAGUACUCCG